RNAcentral lists this long non-coding RNA (224 nucleotides) under Gossypium barbadense (sea-island cotton). Its description in RNAcentral is "long non-coding RNA (GBAR_LNC014829)". The record is from RNAcentral. Lineage: Eukaryota; Viridiplantae; Streptophyta; Magnoliopsida; Malvales; Malvaceae.
AAAGCUUAGUAAGUUAUAAGCAAAUAAAUUAUUUCAAUAACAUACAUAAUUCAAUUUAACAAGGCCAAUCAAGCAAAUCUUUACCACAUAUACAUUUAUCAUGCUUGCAAAUUCAUAUAAUCAUGUAAGUACUUUACUUACCUUUACUUUCAUGAACAUUUAAACCUUAUACGUACCUGAGCCAUUUAACUCAAAUUCACAUUCGGUCUCAUCUUGACAUUGCC